This is a transfer RNA of Operophtera brumata (winter moth), 73 nucleotides long. It matches the Rfam family "tRNA". Rfam says of the family: Transfer RNA (tRNA) molecules are approximately 80 nucleotides in length. The record is from Rfam. NCBI's taxonomy places the organism in Eukaryota, Metazoa, Arthropoda, Insecta, Lepidoptera, Geometridae.
CGUUCUAUGGCCGAACUGGUGAAGGCAUCGCCUAUUACAGGCGAAGAUGCGGGUUCGAGUCCCGCUGAAACGG